GUUCGCUUUGGCAGUACAUAUACUAAAAUUGGAACAAUAAAGAGAAGAUUAGCAAGGCCCCUGAGUAAGGACGACACGCAAGUUCGUGAAGUGGUACAAACAAAA
Onychomys torridus (southern grasshopper mouse) is the source of this 105-nucleotide small nuclear RNA. The record is from RefSeq and is a predicted model, not a curated record. Lineage: Eukaryota; Metazoa; Chordata; Mammalia; Rodentia; Cricetidae.